RNAcentral lists this ribosomal RNA (199 nucleotides) under uncultured bacterium. RNAcentral describes it as "partial 16S ribosomal RNA". It matches the Rfam family "Bacterial small subunit ribosomal RNA", at positions 326 to 539 of the family's 1533-position model. The record is from RNAcentral.
ACGCUCGACACCUACGGUAGGCAGCAGUCGGGAAUAUUGCGCAAUGGAGGAAACUCUGACGCAGUGACGCCGCGUAUAGGAAGAAGGUUUUCGGAUUGUAAACUAUUGUCGUUAGGGAGGAGAAAGGACAGUACCUAAGGAGGAAGCUCCGGCUAACUACGUGCCGGCAGCCGCGGUAAUCUGAGCGGGCUGGCAAGGC